UACGUAGGGUGCGAGCGUUAAUCGGAAUUACUGGGCGUAAAGCGUGCGCAGGCGGUUAUGUAAGACAGAUGUGAAAUCCCCGGGCUCAACCUGGGAAUUGCAUCUGUGACUGUAUAGCUAGAGUACGGUAGAGGGGGAUGGAAUUCCGCGUGUAGCAGUGAAAUGCGUAGAUAUGCGGAGGAACACCGAUGGCGAAGGCAGCCCCCUGGGAUAACACUGACGCUCAUGCACGAAAGCGUGGGGAGCAAACAGG
Molecule: ribosomal RNA, 253 nt
Filed under: uncultured bacterium
Lineage: Bacteria
Description: partial 16S ribosomal RNA
Rfam family: Bacterial small subunit ribosomal RNA
Source: RNAcentral